Molecule: ribosomal RNA, 452 nt
Filed under: uncultured bacterium
Lineage: Bacteria
Description: bacterial SSU rRNA
Rfam family: Bacterial small subunit ribosomal RNA
Source: RNAcentral
GUGGGGAAUUUUGCGCAAUGGGCGAAAGCCUGACGCAGCGACGCCGCGUGAGGGAUGAAGGUCUUCGUGAUCGUAAACCUCUGUCAGGAAGGAUUAAAUGUACAGGUGCCAAUACCACCUGUGCUUGACUUAACUUCCGGAGGAAGCCCCGGCCAACUACGUGCCAGCAGCCGCGGUAAUACGUAGGGGGCAAGCGUUACUCGGAUUUACUGGGCGUAAAGCGAAUGUAGGCGGUUUUGUAAGUCGGAGGUGAAAGCCCUCAGCUUAACUGAGGAAUUGCCUUCGAUACUACUUAACUUGAGGACAGGAGAGGAAAGUGGAAUUCCCGGUGUAGCGGUGGAAUGCGUAGAUAUCGGGAGGAACACCUGAGGCGAAGGCGGCUUUCUGGACUGUUCCUGACGCUGAGAUUCGAAAGCCAGGGGAGCAAACAGGAUUAGAUACCCGAGUAGUCC